CCCGGAAGUAAGCGGCACAUGCUAGCAGCGGAAUGGAGGUACAGCAGAAAAGACCGGCUGUGUUGUACUUUUAACGGGAGCACUGGGUGGUGGCGGAGCAGUGAUGCUGCAGGACCACUGUGUGAGAGAGGACGCUGCAGGUAAGUGCUGAGUCGAUCUUGGUGAGACUUAAAACUUAACAAGCACAAGAACAACAGGGGGAUGCAAUGGAGCCUGAACUCACCCCGCAAUGAAACAACCCCCUUACCCUGAGUCUCAACUCUGUGGGUUUUGCAAGCCUUUCCCUGUUCCUUAUUUUUAAUAAACCAAACACUGAGCUUCCCAA
Non-coding RNA from Epinephelus lanceolatus (giant grouper), 325 nucleotides. Lineage: Eukaryota; Metazoa; Chordata; Actinopteri; Perciformes; Serranidae. The record is from RefSeq and is a predicted model, not a curated record.